UAGUCAUAUGCUUGUUUCAAGGACUUAGCCAUGCAUGCCUCAGAAUCACUGCAUUGCAGGAAUCUGCGCAUGGCUCAUUACAUCAGACGUAAUCUGCCGCCAAAAUCUUGCGGUCUCCGCAUUAUUGGAUAACUUGGCGAAACGCCAAGCUAAUACAUGAACCAAAGGGACGCUCCCUGCUACGGCCGCGGGGUGACUCGCGGUCACGGGACGUCCUGCGAAUGAAUGAAAUUAAGACCAACGCCCCCACCCGGGGGCAGUAACACCCAGACGUGUUGACUCAAUUCAUUCCGUGCGAAAGCCGGCCCUUCUUGGUGCCGGCGUGUGCUGACGAACAACUGCCCUAUCAGCCAGUGAUGGCCGUGUAGUGGACUGCCAUGGCGUUGACGGGAGCGGGGGAUUAGGGUUCGAUUCCGGAGAGGGAGCCUGAGAAAUAGCUACCACUUCUAC
This 450-nucleotide ribosomal RNA is filed under the name Trypanosoma congolense IL3000. Its description in RNAcentral is "SSU rRNA". It matches the Rfam family "Eukaryotic small subunit ribosomal RNA", at positions 21 to 419 of the family's 1831-position model. The record is from RNAcentral. Lineage: Eukaryota; Euglenozoa; Kinetoplastea; Trypanosomatida; Trypanosomatidae.